Podarcis lilfordi (Lilford's wall lizard) is the source of this 69-nucleotide non-coding RNA. NCBI's taxonomy places the organism in Eukaryota, Metazoa, Chordata, Lepidosauria, Squamata, Lacertidae. The record is from the annotation of a GenBank genome assembly.
GCUGUAGCUCAGUGGUAGAUCAUCUGCUUGGUAUGAGGAAGGUCUCGGGUUCAAUCCCUGGCAGGGAUG